UACGUAGGGAGCAAGCGUUGUCCGGAAUCAUUGGGCGUAAAGCGCGCGUAGGCGGCCCGGUCAGUCCGUCGUGAAAGUCAAAGGCUCAACCUUUGAAUGUCGAUGGACACUGCCGGGCUAGAGUCCGGAAGAGGCGAGUGGAAUUCCUGGUGUAGCGGUGGAAUGCGCAGAUAUCAGGAGGAACACCAAUAGCGAAGGCAGCUCGCUGGGACGGUACUGACGCUAAGGCGCGAAAGCGUGGGGAGCGAAUAGG
This 253-nucleotide ribosomal RNA is filed under the name uncultured bacterium. RNAcentral describes it as "partial 16S ribosomal RNA". It matches the Rfam family "Bacterial small subunit ribosomal RNA", at positions 524 to 776 of the family's 1533-position model. The record is from RNAcentral.